This is a long non-coding RNA of Daktulosphaira vitifoliae (grape phylloxera), 1021 nucleotides long. RefSeq lists it as uncharacterized. The record is from RefSeq and is a predicted model, not a curated record. The transcript is spliced from 3 exons. NCBI's taxonomy places the organism in Eukaryota, Metazoa, Arthropoda, Insecta, Hemiptera, Phylloxeridae.
UCUUUGCUGUGAAAUACUAUUAUUCAACCCAUAUUGUACUAUGUAACGCAACAGCAAUAGCUUCGCCGUGUAAACAAUGUCUGUACUCGAAUAUGCAUUCAUUAUAAAACACUAUUGUUAAAGCUGAAAAUUUGUCGGAUUCGCCAAUUAUUAUAUAGAAUUAAAUCUAUAAAGUAAUAACAGACAUUAUACUUUUCUAACGAGCUAUUUUCAAUGAAUAAACUAUAGAGAUUAUCACCAUUCGGACUACUGAACAACUGAUGUUACAAGUCGUUGGCGUGAGAAAAGGUAGGGGAAUAAUGUCGUUUAAUCGUUUCGCAUACUUACUGCAGAUACAAGUGUGGAAUAAUUGAAUAAUAUUAAGAAUAUUAUGUAACCCAUCGUAUUAAACAGCGAGGAUUGUGUGGGAACAGUCUGCAGCCCCCAAAAAACCGGUUGACCGUUAACGUAGAAAAACAGAGAGGGCACCGACGUAAUUCACCCUCAGCUCAUAUGAGUGUUGAGGAAUCCUUUAAUAAUAUUGUGACCGUGGGCGAACGAGGAUUCAAAAAUUAAUUCUUACUAUAUUUGUUAGUAGUUUGUUUUACAGUGCUUCGAUGCGAGGCCGAAAAGGUAUUUCACUAGUAUUUAUUAUGAUGUAUAUUUUUCGUGUUCAUAAAAAUAUUCAGAUAUUACUGGUCGAUUUUGCCAAUAAAAACACGACAAGAAACCAAACUCGAUAACAGCUGGGAAAAUCUAUUUCAAAAAUUGAAGAAAUCUCAAUUAGUUUAGGCUAUUUGAAAAAUAUCUCAAUUUGCCAAAAAUGGCAAAUUCAAUAUUUUUUUCUGCAUAUUAAAAUCAAUUAGAUCUUUACGAAAUUUUAAUCGAAUAUACUACAGACAAAAGACCUUUCUUUUGAUAUGCUAUUUGUGAUAAUACAAUAGAAAACUUCAACACAGAAAGUAUUUGAACAAAAUCACCUGCACAUAACCAAAUAUUUGUUUUCAUUUAAGCUUUUCGAAACGUUUGCAUUCUUUAAACU